GUGUUUCCUAAGGAGACAUGACAAAAGCUCAGCAAUCACCUGAAACGCAGAUCUAAACUGGAUCAGCACACUUUUAAAAUGCACAGCUGAAAAACACAAACAGAUUCUGGACACAGUGGAGAAAACGAUGAACAUAAGAAAAAAUGGAACCAUGGCAACACAUGCAGUAAUACUGGAGAAAACAAGAACUAAAGUCAGUUCUUUGUUUUCAACAAGAUCUUCAAACGGUUGCCUUUGAACACAAGCUCUACACACCAAGCAAAGAAAGGAAAAAAUCAUGAUCUGCUUUGUCCACCUCACAGGAAGUGUCUGCGUACCUGAAAUUUGUUUAGCUGUCAGAUGACAAACUGUUGAAACGUUGGAAGUGUGGCAAAGAUUGAAGCUAGAUUCAAAUCUCCAGACAUUACUAACUGACUGGUAGUGUGUGCAGUUUGCCAAACAUUGAGCUGAUAAAAAUCAUAAACAUUUAUGGCCUUCAUUUGGUCCAUUUGAUCUACUGAGAUGUUGAGCUGUUGCCUAAAACCUAUUCAACAAAAACUAAGUAGAAACACUUUGAGAAUAAAUUCCAAAGAAGCAAAUAACAGCUGCUGUAUAUUUUAGACCUUUGAAAGCGUCUCAAUCUGUUGAAGAUGAAACUUUUUCAGAAAUACAAACCGUUUUGUAGCUCCAGGUAGACGCCCAGCAGGAUGGCUUCAGGCGGAAUCUCUUUAGAGUUCAUCACAGAUGCAGCCUGACAAACACAAAUAUAUCAAAAUGGAGAAAUAUUUCAAUAAGUUAAGAUUUGCUACCUAGCAACUAAAAUGUCAGCAAAAUGAGCCUUUAAUGCAAAAGUGAAAUUUUUAGUAGACAUGUCACUUCAGGCAUGAGAGUAUAUGUGACAGUUCUACACAACAACAUGAAGAGAGGAUAUUUAACUGUAGCUGUCUAGUGUGUGAUGACAAAAAGCACUUAUGGAUGAUUCUCCAUUGAUCAACUAAUUUAAAAACUUGAUUAUCCUAAUUUUAAUUUAGAUCCAAUUUUCAGAAGCAGAAAAUUGGAUGUAUUUUUGCAGCAACAAAAGAAAACUAGAAGUGUUUAGGGAUGAGUAUAGCUUUAGCUAAACAGCACAUUAUUUGAAAAAACUAAUACUGUGAUAUGAAUGCAAUAUGAAAAAACACAAUAUCAACAGAUGACUUGAAUAACACCUGAAGUCAUGCUGCAUCCGGCCAGCCUGUUACCCUAUUAGAGCUGGAAAUAUUAGAAAAUCUGGCAGUGGAGAAAUUAUUAGAAAAUAUAAAAUGUUUCUGUCCUGUCCAUCUCAUCUGUUCUUCCAUCAGUCUGUGACGGUUACGGAUGCUGCUAAAGGCGGCGUCCCACCACAGGACAGGUAGGGGUCCCUUCAUUCUGGGUGGAGAAUGAACCCUAACCCCAACCCUAACCCAUCGCCACUCCAGCAGGUCUCCUACCCCAGAUGGUAUCCAGAGAGUGGGGGUUUGGAAGGACCACCAGUCUCCCUUCACUCGUUCAAAUAUGGUGUUGAGGAGUGUUUUUUAAAUCAAUUUUUGUUCACUGACCCUAACUAAAUGGAGAAUAGACGGGAAAUGGGGACGAGAGAAAAGGGCGUUGCGUGUGUAACCCACGUUAAAAUGUCAUAAAUAGGAAUAAAUAGUUGAUUAAAAGUCUGUAAACAGAAAAUUGUAUCGCUGCCCCUUUAAGGGACCAGCGUCACAGCAGCAGCGUCAGCUGCAGCGUCACACAGGCCAGAGAGAGCGCGCAGAGGAGAGAGCAGUAAUUAAUCAACAGCAAAAGUUAUCAUUAUAGUUGAGAAACAUAAUUACCUGGUCGGGAACUGACAGGAAUUCUAUGAGAACUAAGCUACAUCGGUUUUGGUCAGGUUUUUUGGAAGCUCGGUCGGAGCCAGGAUUCAUCUGCCUUGUGCUGCGCGCACAUUCACGGAUGGGAUUCAAGAUGGCGAGCCAGACCCAGACCUUCCGUUCAUCUUCUGCAUCACAUUAAUUCGCUGCCAGGGCGAACUGAACUGAACAGAACUGAUCAUUUAUUGAAUUAUUAUUUUUGUUUUGGAUCGAGUCAACUAAGACUUUUCAUUGAACUGAAUAACUGAAUUCAUUUUCGGAUAUACUUUGAUUUCUAUAUAUUAUAUCUUUGAAUGUGAUUUGAACAAUUGUAUUUCAUUUUGGUUUGAUUGUGUUGGAGGUAUUUUCUUACCUGUAAAAGAAAGGAAGAUUAACUCAGAAAAAAUAGAAAUCUUGAAAUAGAUAUAAGCUAGGAAAUAAAAGAGAUCAGUCUAAUUAAAUUAGAUUAGUUUUACUAAAAUAAACUAGGUAAACUAAAGACCACAAAAGAAGAGUGAUAUACUCUUUAUUUAUUUUCUUCUAUUUUUUAGUUUCAUUUACCUCCUUAUUGAGAAUCUGCAGAGUUUCUUUGUUUAUGUGUUGCAUCUUAUUUGUGUGUUUUACAUUUAGUAAAUUGCCGGCCUAUUUCACUUAA
Long non-coding RNA from Poeciliopsis prolifica (blackstripe livebearer), 2487 nucleotides. RefSeq lists it as uncharacterized. The record is from RefSeq and is a predicted model, not a curated record. Lineage: Eukaryota; Metazoa; Chordata; Actinopteri; Cyprinodontiformes; Poeciliidae. The transcript is spliced from 2 exons.